This 225-nucleotide ribosomal RNA is filed under the name uncultured bacterium. RNAcentral's name for it is "partial 16S ribosomal RNA". It matches the Rfam family "Bacterial small subunit ribosomal RNA", at positions 109 to 334 of the family's 1533-position model. The record is from RNAcentral.
AGUAACGCGUGGUCAACCUACCGUUGAGUGGGGGAUAACUAGCCGAAAGGUUAGCUAAUACCGCAUACGUCUCCGAGUGGCAUCACUUGGCGAUAAAAGGAGCAAUCCGCUCGAUGACGGGACCGCGUCCCAUUAGCUAGAUGGUGGGGUAACGGCCUACCAUGGCACCGAUGGGUAGCUGGUUUGAGAGAGCGACCAGCCACACUGGGACUGAGAACGGCCCAG